RNAcentral lists this ribosomal RNA (1271 nucleotides) under uncultured fungus. Its description in RNAcentral is "eukaryotic LSU rRNA". The stretch from base 606 to 1271 matches the Rfam family "Eukaryotic large subunit ribosomal RNA", at positions 1 to 649 of the family's 3401-position model. Lineage: Eukaryota; Fungi. The record is from RNAcentral.
AAGUCGUAACAAGGUUUCCGUAGGUGAACCUGCGGAAGGAUCAUUACAGUAUUGUUUAGGGGGGACUGCUGCUGGCUCCUAGGAGCAUGUGCGCGUCUUCCUUUCUAAUAUUCACACCCGUGCACCUAUGGAUGCGGUCCUAUUAUAUAUUAGGACCUUGUCCAUUAUCAUACAUAUAAAGCCUGUCUCUAAUGCAUGUAUUGACGUUCUAAGGAGCGGAUUUAUAAAUACAACUUUCAACAACGGAUCUCUUGGCUUUCGCAUCGAUGAAGAACGCCGCGAAAGUGCGAAACGUAAUGUGAAUUGCAGAAUUCAGUGAAUCAUCGAAUCUUUGAACGCAUCUUGCGCUCCUUGGUAUUCCGAGGAGCAUGCCUGUUUGAGUGUCGCGACCCUCCUCAAUCCCUUCUCCCUCUUCUGUGGGGGGUUUUGGGCUUGGACUUUGGACGUCUGCUGUGGGGAACUAGUCCUCUCCUAUCGGCUCGUCUUGAAAUGNAUUAGCUGUGAAACUUGUUGUUAGAACGGUGUGAUAAGAAUACAUUUUUCUGUAGCGUCGUCUCUAAUCAAGGGCACUGCUUCUAAUCGUCCUUUGGACAAUUCAUGUCAUCUGACCUCAAAUCAGGUAGGACUACCCGCUGAACUUAAGCAUAUCAAUAAGCGGAGGAAAAGAAACUAACAAGGAUUCCCCUAGUAACGGCGAGUGAAGCGGGAAGAGCUCAAAUUUGUAAUCUGGCGGCNUCUGGCCGUCCGAGUUGUAGUCUGGAGAAGUGUUUUCUGUGCCGGACCGUGUACAAGUCCCUUGGAACAGGGCGUCAUAGAGGGUGAGAAUCCCGUCUCUGACACGGACUACCGGUGCUUUGUGAUGCGCUCUCGAAGAGUCGAGUUGUUUGGGAAUGCAGCUCAAAAUGGGUGGUAAAUUCCAUCUAAAGCUAAAUAUUGGCGAAAGACCGAUAGCGAACAAGUACCGUGAGGGAAAGAUGAAAAGCACUUUGGAAAGAGAGUUAAACAGUACGUGAAAUUGUUGAAAGGGAAACGCUUGAAGUCAGUCGCGUCGGGUGGGACUCAGCCUUACUUCUGUAUGGUGCAUUUCCUAUUUGACGGGCCAGCAUCGAUUUCGGUCACUGGAGAAAGGUGGGGGGAACGUGGCACCCUCGGGUGUGUUAUAGCCCUCUAUCGUAUGCAGUGAUUGGGAUCGAGGAUCGCAGCACGCCUUAACGGUCGGGGUUCGCCCACGUAACGUGCUUAGGAUGCUGGCGUAAUGGCUUUAAGCGACC